RNAcentral lists this long non-coding RNA (602 nucleotides) under Phasianus colchicus (ring-necked pheasant). RNAcentral describes it as "lncRNA (ENSPCLG00000005557.1)". The record is from RNAcentral. Lineage: Eukaryota; Metazoa; Chordata; Aves; Galliformes; Phasianidae.
AGAUAGAUGAUCAGAAGUAGCUAUUUCUACAGCUGAGCUAUAUGUGCUCAGCUGUAUCAGAUCCAGAAGCAGGUGCGAGCACUGAAUCAAAUAAAUAAAGCCAUUGCCUUCUGAGAAUCUUCAAUCUUUAAAAAAAAAAAAAAAAAAAAUCAAGCUUAAUGUUUGAGUGCUCCUUGCUUUGUUUCCUCCUGUUCUUUUUCCUCUCUCCAGCCUUGAUGUCUGAUGUUUCCCUCCAAGCACUGGGCUGAGGAUCCCCUACAAGCAGAUCUUCACAGUGAUUGCUUUUUUCCCUGAUUGCUAAUGCUGUUUCCAGGGGCUGAUCUAAGCUGGGUACCCUUCUCAUCAAUGCCCACAUCUGGGUGUUAUCAAGCACUUCUCAGAUGCCAGUGUGUAUGCCAGCUUCUCUGCAUCUCACUUCCAGCUCCUCUUUUCCAGGUACACGAAGGAAGUGGCAAUGUUAGACUAGCGGCUGCAGAGCUCGACUGGUGACUACUGUGGAUGCAGAGCCUCCAACUGAUACAAAUUCUUCCUUAGGUAAGAGAUGUCUGAGGUCAGAGUGGUGAAGAAUAUCCAAGGUUAUUGAUUUUCAAGUGCUGCUUUCU